Homo sapiens (human) is the source of this 815-nucleotide long non-coding RNA. RefSeq lists it as uncharacterized. The record is from RefSeq and is a predicted model, not a curated record. Lineage: Eukaryota; Metazoa; Chordata; Mammalia; Primates; Hominidae. The transcript is spliced from 4 exons.
UUCGACAGGCCUCUGUGCUGGCAGCUUCAGAAAUGCCUUUGGGCUUGUCACAUGUUGAAAACUCCCAACUGGCUGUCUGAAUUGGCAACCAUGCUUUGGCUCACUGGAGAGAAGAGAGAAAUGGUGCUUUUUGUCCAUCUACUGAUAACCUCUCAUGGCAGAUCAAAGGAACCAGGUUUUGAUGACUUACAGCUCACACAAGGUCAUCCUGGGAAAACAGAUCCUGAGAAGUACUGCAGAGCUUGUGAAGUACUGCACUGGCUGGUGUCUGGAUUCUAGAGUUUAUGAUCUGCUCCAAAGCCAGAGAGGUGAUGACUAGAAGAAAAUCCUGGAGAUCCUGGAUGUGGAGGAGCCACAUGAUGGAAGGAAUGUGGAUCCAAUCACUCUUGGAGAAGAGCCACUGACUGGAAUUGGACUGUGAGAAAAUCUUGGAUCAAGAGUGGGAAGAGUCCUCAAGAAAAUAUCUAGUUUAACUACCCAACUCACAGAUUAAGAAACAGAGGCCCAGGAGGAGGUGUGGAAUUGCCUGUGGUUGUCCAGCCUGUUAGGAGGCAGAACUUAAGGGCUUUGUAUACAGUCUAGUGGGCCUCACAGGUCACAUACAUCCUCCUCUAUCUGGCUGCUCCAAACUGUAUGAAUGCAAACAGCAUGAGAAUAUCUUGUGGUAGUAAUUAAGUCACUAACAGAAAUUCUCCAGCUUGGGUACCUAAACCUGGCUAACCAUUAUUUGAACUAGAUAAAAACCAGAUACACAAAUCCCACUCUAGGAGAUGCUGAUUUGGAAGCUUAGGCGUUGAGCCCAGAAAUCUCUACUU